CUUAAAAUCAACCAGCUUCAACUAGCCAGCCAGUCAGGAGGCUCCAGUGCUAUUGACCUCUUGACUGUUUGGGAGGUUCCUUGGAAAUAAAGCUGGUGGAGCUGUGAUUAAAUUUACACUGCGUUGACAACAUGAGGCACGUCAUCUUGCUCUUUCUGUCUGUCCAUUUUUACCUUGGGAACUUGGUAAGCAUCGAUGGAUCACAAGCUCAUAACAUUCAGCGUCGCCAAACGAGCCCAAAGCUUCAAGACCCUGUAGAGAUCGUCACAGAUAUGACAAUAUCUGCAAGUUGGAACCUCACUGUGGGCAAUACUGCAGUGAUAAACUGCACCGUGCACAAACCAGGAAACGGCCACAAUGUGACUUUGCAGCUGAUGCGGACAAAACUGGGCCUAGAGGAAAAGUUUAAGGUGCUGGUGAGCCAACCAGCUUCAAGAGGGAUCUCAUAUGUACUGGGUCCCAUUACUCAUGAGCACCUGGGAGAGUCUGUAGCUGUGUGGAAGGUGGCAGCGCGCCUAAUGCUGACGUUACGGAUCGGCACCAUUUAA
Molecule: long non-coding RNA, 548 nt
Filed under: Oreochromis niloticus (Nile tilapia)
Lineage: Eukaryota; Metazoa; Chordata; Actinopteri; Cichliformes; Cichlidae
Description: lncRNA (ENSONIG00000035117.1)
Source: RNAcentral